GGUACCUGGAAACAGAGAGGAAGAAAUCACAAAUGGAGGAGGAAAAAAGCAGAGAUACAGGAACAGAAGAGACCCAGAGAAUGGGCCAAGAGACCCUGAGGGCAAGAAAAAUGUGAGGUGCAGGGGUGAAGGCGUGGGAGCGGGGGUGGGACAGGACAGGACUGGACAGGGACCCCGGGAGAGAGGAACCCAGACCGCCACCACUCCUACCAGGCAAGGGCAAAGGCCCGGUCCACACGCCAUUCCAGCCCCUGCCCGCCCUGCGCCUUCCACAUGAGCCACAGCUUCAGACAGUCCACACGGCGGCCGCACUGCACCACCUUGUCUCCGGUGUCCAGAGCCACAUCGUAGAACUUGUCCUGCUGGAAGAGGUAGCUGGCCUGGGAGCCGUGGCAGCGCCUGAGCAGGUUCUGUCGGUGGGGAGAGCAGGGGGGAGGACUGUCAGACCCCACCCUCCCCACCAAGGCUCCCUCUGGAGCCGCACAGGGGGGCUUCUUAGCUCAGCCCAACCCUUCUGUCCCUGGCACCAGGCAGAACUCCUGAGAUGGCUGCCAGCUGACUCAGGCCCCUUUCUCCGGGUGUUCUCCCAACACCCGGAGUUCUCCCCAAACUCGGCCCAGGAGCCCUUCAAUUACAACCUCAAGCUGGACACAUUUUCCUUUGCAUGAAGAUGCGCCGCAGUGGGGGCGGGGGUGGGGAAGCACUGCAGGGGAUUCGGUGGUCGAAGCUACUCAGCUUCAGACGGGACGGUGAGAAGGACACAGCAAGGCCACGACCCUCUCUGACUUGGGACAGGGAGGAAGACAGAGGUCCAGGGUGAGAGGUAGGGUGAGGACAGGGGCAGGGCAGACCCACCGAGGUAUCGCGGAGAAGAAGAGCUGAGCACUGCAGGCCUGCCGCGAGGAGUUUGUGGGGAUUCCAGGCCACGGAGUCAGCCCUGGGGUGGGCACAGCACAAACGGAUGCGCCGCCUCCUCCUCCCCCUCCCCCCCGAGGCUCCCCCCACUCUUCCACAUCUCCGGUAAAGGGGCUUUAGUCUCAUGUCAGCCCAGCAGUCUGCUCUCCAAUCCCCCUUCCCCCAACCCCCUUCCCUCACUCCCAUCGGAAGCUCCCUAGUCCAGGACUAGUUUCUGGAGCAAGGAUUUGAACGGUGGGAUUCAGGAGGUAGGUGGCCGUAUGCACCUCUGGAUCCCAUCCAGGAGAUGUCUAUGUGUCUGUGACAACAGGACGCUCCCACCCCAGGCAGCCUGUGGAGCAAAAGGAAUAACAUGGGCCUUGGCCUUGGCUCGGCCCACCCCACCCUCAGGCCUCAGUCCCACUCACAUCCACGUGGAGCCACAGCCCGUGACGCUGGCACACAUCAGCAAUUGCCUCCAGGGGGUCAAAGGCCCCCAGCACAGUAGUGCCAGAGGUAGCACUAACCAGGAAUGGCACAGCGCCCUGUGGCAGAAAAACAGGGGGGAAAGAGGCUGUGAAGGUAUCGCAAAAGCUUCCAGAGGGGCACCUGGGUGGCUCAGUCGGUCAAGCAUCCAACCCUUGAUACGGGCUCAGGUCGUGAUCUCCUGGUUUGUGAGAUGGAGCCCCUUGUCCGGCUCUGUGCUGACAGUGUGGAGCCUGCUUGGGGUUCUCUCUCUCUCUCUGCCCCUUCCCCACACACUCUCUCUCUCAAAAUAAAUAAAUAAAAACAUUUUUAAAAAUUGGGGCGCCUGGAUGGCUCAGUCAGUUAAGUGUCCAGUUUUGGCUCAGGUCAUGAUCUCACAGCUUGUGAGUUCAAGCCCCAUGUCGGGCUCUGUGCUGACAGCUCGGAACCUGGAGCCUGCUUUGGAUUUUGUGACUCCUUCUCUUUCUCUCUGCCCCUCCCCUGCUUGUGCUCUCUCUCUCUCUCUCUCUCUCUCAAAAAUAAAUAAACAUUAAGAGAAAAAAAAAAAGCUACCCAGAGCCUGGUGACGAGGUCAUCUCGAAACUCUUAUUGCAAUGCCUGACCUAGGCCCUUUCAACCUUACAAAAUGUUACUGUCUUCCUUAAUAUCCAAGUGAGGACACCGAGAUCCAGAGCUGUUAAGAAAUUUACCCCCAAGCUGAAGCUCCAGAGAUGGAAUUCAAUCCUAGGUCUAUCUGCUGGUCUAUUUCCAAAGCUCAUAUGCUUUCAGAAAAAAUUAAUGUCUUACUGGAAGAUCAAAAAGUUUGUGAAGAAAUUGAAUUUCUAUUUAAAAAAUUUUUUUUAAUGUUUAUUUAUUUUUGAGACAGAGAGAGACAGAGCAUGAAUAGGGGAGGGGCAGAGAGAGAGGGAGACACAGAAUCUGAAACGGGCUCCAGGCUCUGAGCUGUCAGCACAGAGCCCGAUGCGGGGCUCAAACUCACAGACCGCGAGAUCAUGACCUGAGCCGAAGUCGGACGCUUAACCGACUGAGCCACCCAGGCGCCCCUUGAAUUUCUAUUUAAAAAAAAUAUUUUUUUUUAACGUUUAUUCAUUUUUGAGAGACAGAGCAUGAGCAGGGAAGAGGCAGAGAGAGAGGGAGACACAGAAUCCAAAGCAGGCUCCAGGCUCUGAGCUGUCAGCACAGAGCCCGACGCGGGGCUCAAACUCACAGACCGCGAGAUCACGACUUGAGCCGAAGUUGGACACUCAACUGAUUGAGCCAUCUAGGCGCCCCUGAAUUUCUAUUUUAAAAAAAUACCACCGGGGCGCCUGGGUGGCGCAGUCGGUUAAGCGUCCGACUUCAGCCAGGUCACGAUCUCGCGGUCCGUGAGUUCGAGCCCCGCGUCAGGCUCUGGGCUGAUGGCUCAGAGCCUGGAGCCUGUUUCCGAUUCUGUGUCUCCCUCUUUCUGCCCCUCCCCCGUUCAUGCUCUGUCUCUCUCUGUCCCAAAAAUAAAUAAACGUUGAAAAAAAAAUUAAAAAAAAAUAAAAUAAAAUAAAAAAAAAAUAAAAAAAUACCACCAAGAAAAGCCCAGGCCUAUAUGGCUUCACUGAUGAAUUCUAUAAAACAUCUGAAAAAGAACUGAUACCAGUUCUUCACAAAAAGUCCAAAAAACAGAAGAGGAACACUUCUGAAUUCAUCCUGUUACCAAAACCAUAUAAAACAUCACAAGAAAACCACAGGUGAUAUCUCUUUGAAUAUAGACACAAGACCUACAAAACGCUAGCUAAUCAAAAUCAGCAAUGUAUAUAUAAGGGGCACCUGGGUGGUUCAGUCAGUUAGGCAUCUGACUCUUGAUUUCAGGUCGGAUCAUGAUCUUGCAGUUCAUGAGUUCGAGCCUCACAUGAGGCUCUCUGCCAUCAGCACGGAGCCUGCUUUGGAUCCUCGGUCUCCCUCUCUCUCUGCCCCUCCCACGCACUCUCUCUCUCCCAAAAAUAAAUUUAAAAACAUUAAAAAAAUCAGCAACCUAUAAAAAAUUAUACAUUAUGACAAAAUUGAUUUGUCCCAGGAGUGCAAGCUCAGAGUAGCACCCAAAAAACCAAUUAAUGUAAUACAAGUAUCAACAAAAUAAAGGAAAAAAAUACAUCUCAAUAGACACAGAAAAACAUUCGGCAAAAUCCAACACUCCUGCUUGAUAAAACUACUCAACAAACUAGAAGGUGACAGGAAUGUUCUCAACCUAAUAGAGGGCAACUACAAAAAAACCCCAGCUAACAUCGUACUCAAUGCUAAAAGACUGAAAGCCUUCCCCCCAUGAUCAGGAACAAGACAAGGAUGUCCACUCUCCCCACUUCUAUUCAACAUUAUACUGAGGGUCUAGCAGGGCAAUUAGGUAAGAAAAUAAAAUAAAAAGCAUCCAGAUUAGAAGGGAAAAAAGCAAAACUAUCUCUACUUACAAAUAACAUAAUAUUGUAUCUAGAAAGUCCUAAGGAAUCCACUAAAAAAAACUAUUAAUAAAUGAAUUCAGCAAGUUUUCAGGGUAUAAGAUCAAUAUUAAAAAGUCAUCUGUAUUUUUAUAUAUUUUCAAUGAACAAUCCAAAAAUAAAAUUAAGAAAGCAAUUUCACUUAUAACACUAAGAGGAAAAAAUACUUAGGAAUAAAUUUUAAAAAGUAGUACAAAACAUAUACUCUGAAAACUACAAAGCAUUGUUGAAAGAAACCAAAGAAUAUCUAAAUGGAAAGAUAUCCCAUGUUCAUAGAUCUACUAAUUGAACAUAAUCCCUAUCAAAAUCCCAGUUGGCUUCUUAGCAGAAAUUGACAAGCUGAUCCUAAAAUGCAUGUGGAAAUUUAAGGGACCCAGAAUAGCCAAAACCAUCUGGAAAAAGAACAAAGUUGGAGGGCUCACCCAUCUUCAUUUCAAAACUUACUACAAAGCCACAUCAGUCAAGGCAAUGUGGUCUAUAGUAUAGACGUGCAGAUCAAUGGAACAGAACUGAGAAUCUGGAAAUACCACCUCACAUUUACUAAGGUCAACUGAUUUUCAUCAAGGAUGUCAAGAUACUGAGUUGGGGAAAAAAUAUUCUUUUCAACAAAUGAUGCUGGGACAACUGGAUAUCCACAUGCAAAAGAAAUUGUUGUCAUACAUAAAAAUUAACUCAUAAUAAAUUAUAGAACUAAAUGUAAAAGUUAAAAAUAUAAAACUCCUGGGGUGCCUGGCUGGCUCAGCCAGUAGCGCACGCAUCUCUUGAUCUCAAGGUCAUGAGUUCAAGCCCCACAUUGGGUGUAGAACUUAAAAAAAAAAAAACACAAAACUUGAGGCGCCUGGAUCGCUCCGUCAGUUAAGCGUCCAUCUUCGGUUCAGGUCAUCAUCUCACCGUUCCUGAGUUUGAGCCCCACGUCGGACACUGUGCUGACAGCUCUGAGCCUGGAGCCCACUUCAAAUUCUGGGUCUCCCUCUCUCUCCGCCCCUCCCCCACUUACUCUGUCUUCCUCUUUUUCAAAAAUAAAUAAACAUUUAAAAAGUAUUUUUUAAAUCUUAAAAAAUGUAAAACUCAGGUGGGCAUGCCAAAAAUAAAAAUAAAAACAAAUUUAUAACUCCUAGAUGAAAAUAUAGGAAUAACUCUUCAUGAGCUUGGGUUAGACAAAGCUUUUGUAUACAUGACACCAAAAGCACAAGCAACCAAAGAAAAAUUAGAUAAAUUGGACCCCAUCAAAAUCUAAAACUUCUGGCUUCAAAGGACACCAUCAAGGAGGUGGCAAGAUAACCCACAAGAUGGAAGAAGCUAUUUGCAAGUCACAUAUCUGAUAAGGGACUUCUAUCUAGAACAGAUGAAGAACGCUUACAACUGAAAAACAAAAGACAACCUAAUUAAAAACUGAGCAAAGGAUACAAAUAGACACUUCUCCAAAGAAGUUCUACAAAUGGCCAAUAAGUAUGUGGCAAAAUGCUCAACAUCAUUAGUCAUCAGGGAAAUGCAAAUCAAAACCACAGGGAGAUAACACUUCACACCCACUAAAAUCAAAAAGAGAAAGUAAAAAAUAAAAAACAAACACACAAAUAAACCAAUUAAAUAAUGGGCAGGGGUGCCUGGGUAGCUCAGUCAGUGGAGUGUCUGACUUCAGCUUAGGUCAUUAUCUCGUGGGUUGUGGGUUUGAGCCCUACGUUGGGCUCACUGCUGUCAGCUCAGAGCUUGCUUGGGAUUCUCUCUUUCUCUCUCUCUCUCUCUCUCUCUCUCUCUCUCUCUCUCUCUCUCUGCCUCUCCCCCGCACCUGCUUUCUCUUUCAAAAAAAAAAAAUAAUAAUAAAAAUUAAAAAGAACUUUUUUUUUUUUUAAUGGGCAGUGGGGGCACCUGGCUGGCUAAGUCAGUAGAGCAUGCAAUUCUUGAUCUAGGGGUUGUAAGUUCAAGCCCCACAUUGGGUGUAGAGAGUACUUAGAAAUGAAAUCAUAGGGGUGCCUGGGCAGCUCAGUCAGUUGAGUGUUCAACUCUUGAGAUUUCCAUUCGGGUCAUGAUCCCAGGGCCGUGGGAUCAAGCCCCACAUCGGGUUCUGCACUAAGCAAGGAGCCUGCUUAGGAUCCUCUUUCUCCCUCUGCCUCUGCCCUUUCCCCCACCACUGCACUUGCGCGCUCUCUCUCUCUCUCUUUCUCUAAAUAAACAAAAUAAUAAUAAUAAUAAUAAUAAUAAUUAAUUAAAUUACAUUUGGGCAGAGGACCUGAAUAGACAUUUUUUUCAAAGAAGACAAGCAGAUGGCCAACAGACACAUGAAAAGAUGCUUAACAUCAUAAAUCAUCAGGUAAAUACAAAUAAAAACCACAAUGAGAUACCACUCAUACCUAUCAGAAAGGCUAGAAUCAAAAAGAUACAUAGAGAGGCGCGUGGGUGGCGCAGUCGGUUAAGCGUCCGACUUCAGCCAGGUCACGAUCUCGUGGUCUGUGAGUUCGAGCCCCGCAUCGGGCUCUGGGCUGAUGGCUCAGAGCCUGGAGCCUGUUUCCGAUUCUGCGUCUCCCUCUCCCUCUCCCCCUCCCCCGUUCAUGCUCUGUCUCUCUCUGUACCAAAAAUAAAUAAACGAUAAAAAAAAAAAUUAAAAAAAAAAAAAAAAAAGAUACAUAGAGAUCUUGCCAUUAGCAACAAUGGGGAUGGAUGUAGAAGGUACAAUGCUAAGUGAAAUAAGUCAGAUAGAAAAGACAAAUACCAUACGAUUUCAUUUAUAUGUGGGAUCUAAAAAAAAAAAAACCAAAAGAAAGAAAAGAAGAGAAGAGAAAAGAAAAGAAAGAGAAGAGAAGAGAAGAAAAAGAAAAGAAAAGAAAAGAAAAGAAAAGAAAAGAAAAGAAAAGAAAAGAAAAGAAAGGGGCGCCUGGGUGGCUCAGUUGGUUGAGCAUCUGACUUUGGCUCAGGUCAUGAUCUCGCAGUUUGACAAGUUCGAGCCCCGCAUCAGACUCUGUGCUGACAGCUGAGAGCCUGGAGCCUGCUUCAGGUUCUGUGUCUCCCUCUCUCUCUCUGUGCCCCUCCCCUGCUCAUGCUCUGUCUCUCUCUACCUCAAAAAUAAAUAAAACAUUAAAAAAAAUUUUUUUUAAAUAAAGAAAAGAAAAGAGAAAAAAGAAAAGCAAAGCAAAGCAGAGAAAAGAAAGGGACUCUUAAAUACAGAAAACAAACUGGUGGCGGCCAGAAGGAAGGUGGGUGGAGACAUGGGUGAAAUAGAUAAAGGGGAUUCAGAGGUACAAACUUCCAGUAAUAAAAUAAAGAAGUCAUGGAGAUGAAAACACAGCAUAGGCAAUACAGUCAACAAUAUUGUAAUAAUGCAUGGUGACAGAUGGUGACUGCACUUAUUGUUGUAAGCACUGAGUAAUGUAUACAAUUGUUGAAUCACUACGUUGUACACCUCACAGUAAUAUAACGCUGUUAAUUAUACUUAAAUUUAAACAAAUGAGGCAAAAAAAGAGAGAAAUAACAAGUGUUGUUGAGGAUGUGGAGAAACUGGAACACUCACACCCUGCUGGUAGGACAGCUGGUGUAGCCACUUUGAAAAACUGGUGUAGCCACUUUGAAAAACAGUCUGGAGGCUCCUCAAAAGUUAAAUACAGAGUUACUGUAUGACUCAGCAAUUCUGCUCCCGGUACAUAACCGAGAGAAAUGUAAACGUAUGUUCAUGCAAAAACUUGUACACAAAUGUUCGGAGCAGGAUUACUCGUCAUAGCCAAAAAGUGGAAACAACCCAAGUGUCCAUCAACUGAUGAGCAGAUAAGCGAAAUGUGGUCUAUUCCAUACAAUGGAAUAUUAUCCAGCAAUCAAAAGAAUGAAGUACCGACACACGCCACAACAAGGAUGAACCUUGAAGACGGGGUGCCAAGUAAAAGAAGUUCAUCACAAAAGACCGUGCAUAGUGUAAGUCCAUUUCCACGAGAAAUCCAGAAUAGGCAAAUUCACAGAGACACAGAGGAGUUUAGUGUUGCCUAGUAGGAGGUUUGGGGAAAACGGGAUUGAUGGCUAAAAGGGGGCAAGGUUUCUUUUUAGGGUGAUGAAAAUGUGCUAACAUCUAUUGUAGUGAAUGUUGCACAACUCUGUUAAAAACCAUUGAAUUGCAGGGGUGCCUGGGUGGCUCAGUCAGUUAAGCGUCUGACUUCGAGUCAGAUCAUGAUCUCACCAUCCUUGAGUUCAAGCCUUGCGUCAGGCUCUGUGCUGACAGCUCAGCCCAUGGAGCCGGUUGCAGAUUCUGUGUCUCCCUCGCUCUCUGCCCUUCCCCCACUCACAUUCGUGUGUGUGUGUCUCUCUCUCUUUUUUAAAAAUAUUUUUAAAUUAAAAAAAAUUUUUAAUAAAAAAUAAAGUAUAACAAAAUUUGUAGAGACAGUGCCACAAGGCAGAGCAUAGGGAAUCUAGUCAAUGACACUGUAAUAGUGUUGUUACGGUGACAGAUGGUAGCUACACUUGUGAGUACAGCCUAACACAAACUCGUCAAAUCACUGCAUCGUACACUUAAAACGAGUGGAACAUUGUGUGUCACCUAUACUCAAUUAAAAAAAAUAUAUGUAUGUCCAUGCAUGGGCAAAGCGUUUGAACGCUCAACUUACCAAGAAGCUAUAAAGAGAGCAAAGAAGCACUUUAUUUAUUUUUCUUUAAUUUUUUUUUAACGUUUUUAUUUAUUUUUGAGACAGAGAGAGACAGAGCAUGAACAGGGCAGGGUCAGAGAGAGGGGGACACAGAAUCUGAAACAGGCUCCAGGCUCUGAGCUGUCAGCCCAGAGCCCGACGCAGGGCUCGAACUCACGGACCGCGAGAUCGUGACCUGAGCCGAAGUCGGCCGCUUAACCGACUGAGCCACCCAGGCGCCCCAAGAAGCACUUUAAAAGAUACUCAACGUCAUUAUUUCUUAAGGAAACUCGAUCACAAAAUGAUAUCACUACGUAGUUAUUAGAAUAGAAAACCAACAAAAACAAAAUUAAAAACCCCUCCAAAUAGAAAAAAAAAAUUUUUUUUUUAUAGAAAGUGCCAAAAUGCCCUCCAAGGUGGCUGCAGUGAUUCACACGGGCCCCCAGUCAGCGGGGAGUGCUGGGGCCUCCACAUUUCCCACUGCUCAGAGCUGGCACAAGCCUCACCGCUGGCCGCCACAGCUUCCUGGGCUUCUCCCUGCACAGAGCCUCCCAGCUCACAGAAACCUUCCACGCUGCACUUAGGUCCCCAGCAUCUUCCUUCUGGUGCCACCCUGGAAACUCCACUCAGUGACUCAGGCCUGCUCCUGUCUCUUCGGAUCCAGUC
Molecule: long non-coding RNA, 9103 nt
Filed under: Lynx pardinus (Iberian lynx)
Lineage: Eukaryota; Metazoa; Chordata; Mammalia; Carnivora; Felidae
Source: RNAcentral